UGGCGGCACGGCGGCAAACACUGUGAUGUUGUGAGGCGUAACGUUAAACAUGAUAAUAACAUUAGCAAUUUAAAAAGUUUUAAUAAAAGUUGACUAACUAAUAGUAAUAAUUAUUUAGAGCUAUAGAACUAAGUUCAUUCUGGUGGCGUGAGCAGUUAACUAAUCAUACUUUUACUUGUGGCAAUCUUGGUCAUAAUUAAUCAUUAUGUUUUCAAGAUGUUGCAGAUAUAAUGCUUUUGCAUUUUCCAUGCAAAGCAUAAAUUUAUUUAUGUUAAACUUAAAAAUGACCCAUCUUAAUAACUAUAAAUUGUGCAGACCAUUAACGUUAAACUUCAAUACAGAACUUGUUAAAAGUAAAACUUCCUCAGGCUCAAUUUCUUCAAGUGUCAUUACUAAGAAAGACAUAAACAUUACUGAUACUGAUAAUAAAUUACCAUGUUAUCUCGAAGGUGUUUUUACUGAAAUUGUUGCUAACAGUAUGGUUGUUUAUGAAGAUUUUCUAAAUGAAGAAGAAGAGAAAAAUAUAAUUGAUGAAAUAGAGCCUUAUAUGAAAAAACUAAGAUACGAGUAUGAUCACUGGGAUGAUUUUUGUGGAGAUACCAUUGCUGGCCUAUGCUUACUGUCAGAUGCUGUCAUGAAGUUAGUAGAAGAAGACCACAUUGAAAACUGGGUGAAUGUUCUGCUGAAAAGGAGGUCUUUGUAUGUAAUGAAAAUGGGGGAAUGUACAGUCAUCUUUACAAGAUCUCCAAAUCAGGGAAGAAGCAAGGGUCUCCAUCCAUCAGCAUGGCACUGGCCCACCUGUAUAACAGAUUGCCUCACUAGGAACUGCACACUCUGCAGCCAUUCAGCCUCUCAGCACAAAGGUCACCUUAGGCUUGGGGAAUUUUGCCCACAUUGUCUCUCAUAUCCCAUAGAUCCAUCGUUUACCAUGUCCCUGGCUGCACAUUUCCUCUCUUCCCUUGGAGGACAUCAUUAGUGCCAGUUUGUGGACCACUCUGCAUACUUUGACAUCUCCUUGUCUUGCAUUUCCCUGUGAGUGAAUUUUAGGUGCAAUAGAUGGUACCAACCUCUAAAUCAAAGCUCCAAUAGUAUCUCCAUCAACCUACAUUAACAUAAAAACUGUUGUUCUAUACUACUGCAAUCUGUUUGCUAUAGUUGUAUAAUGUUCACUCACUGUUAAGCUGGAAAAGCUUAAUCAAUUCAUGAUGCCCAUCUUUAUUGACAAUCAGGUCUUUAUCGUGCUAUUGAAAUAAAUCCAACAAUGAUGUUUCCAGUGGAUAGUGAUCUUGUAUGAGAUCCAGUAUAUCUAUUGGAAUAUCACUUACUCAUCCCAUUCAAAGACAAUGACAACUUAGGAAACAAAGAAAGAAAGUAUAACUAUAAACUGUCAUUAGCACUCUUUUACCAUUGAAAGAGCAUUUGCCUUACUUGGAAUAUUUUGUCAUUUGAAAUAUUUAGAUAUUACACAAUUAGAUA
Molecule: unclassified non-coding RNA, 1476 nt
Filed under: Limulus polyphemus (Atlantic horseshoe crab)
Lineage: Eukaryota; Metazoa; Arthropoda; Merostomata; Xiphosura; Limulidae
Description: alpha-ketoglutarate-dependent dioxygenase alkB homolog 7, mitochondrial-like, transcript variant X2
Source: RNAcentral